Molecule: unclassified non-coding RNA, 526 nt
Filed under: Trichosporon lactis
Lineage: Eukaryota; Fungi; Basidiomycota; Tremellomycetes; Trichosporonales; Trichosporonaceae
Source: RNAcentral
CCUUUUGGACUCUCUAUGUUUGGUGUGGACUGGGGGGUAACUCCAGCACGUUAACCAUAGACAGUUUAUGAGGUGUGAGAAGGUGAGAAGUAUGAGGAGGUGAGUGCCAUGGUGAAGAAGUCCAUCUGGUCAUACGUUGGGUACAGUAGAAGUUGUCGGCUUCGGAGACUUGGGUUUGCAGAUUUGAACUUUCCCACGGGUAGUAGAUGCAGUUGCCCAGAUUUGGACAAGUUCAGAGAUGGACUGGGGGAGACAAGGCCUCUGUACCAGGCGCGGUGAAGGUCCUUCACAAGUCCUUUGGCUACGGGCAGGGCUCUGGGUGGCUCUAAGUCCAUGGGCUGGGUGUGACCAGAAGUUGUGAAGUCUUGAGAAGUUCAGCUGGCUGGUAGACUUUGGCUGGUACUGGUGACCAUACUGAGUGCUGCAGAGUACCAGGUUUGGGUGCCAUCUGGUCCAUGUCUUGUCAGUUGACUUGUGUGUUCUCUGAGAGCAGACUGGCUUAUAGGGGCUGUUCAUCCCUACUAUC